RNAcentral lists this long non-coding RNA (343 nucleotides) under Zalophus californianus (California sea lion). RNAcentral's name for it is "lncRNA (ENSZCAG00015012660.1)". Lineage: Eukaryota; Metazoa; Chordata; Mammalia; Carnivora; Otariidae. The record is from RNAcentral.
AGGGAGGGAAAGAGAGAGAAAGAGACCCUCAGCUCCUCACAACACUGUUAUUUCUGGACUUUUUCCUAAGUUCUUCGUGAGCAAGUUGUUCAGGCCCCUGUGUCUGGCUCAGCAGUAGUAAAACAACAGUUACCCUUAGCCAAGCCCUGAAGAGCCUGGAAGUGGUGGAGAGACCCCCUCCAUGGAGCUGUGCAGGGCUUUCUCCAUAUUUUGUACAUUUUCUUGACAAGAGCGCCACAGUCAAAACUAAAACUAAGUGAGAGAUGAUGCUACUUUCAACUGGGAAAGGUUCUAAUAGUGUCUCUUCUGGAAAAGUUCCUUGGUGACAAUAAAAUGCUUACCC